RNAcentral lists this ribosomal RNA (253 nucleotides) under uncultured bacterium. Its description in RNAcentral is "partial 16S ribosomal RNA". It matches the Rfam family "Bacterial small subunit ribosomal RNA", at positions 524 to 776 of the family's 1533-position model. The record is from RNAcentral.
CACGGGGGGAGCAAGCGUUGUUCGGAAUCACUGGGCGUAAAGGGCGUGUAGGCGGUCAGGUAAGUGGGAUGUGAAAUGCCCCGGCUCACCCGGGGACCGGCAUCUCAUACUGCUUGGCUUGAGUACGGGAGAGGAUGUGGGAAUUCCUGGUGUAGCGGUGAAAUGCGUAGAUAUCAGGAGGAACACCGGUGGCGAAGGCGCACAUCUGGCCCGAUACUGACGCUGAGGCGCGAAAGCUAGGGGAGCAAACGGG